Molecule: ribosomal RNA, 392 nt
Filed under: Mastigoniscus aff. latus 2 TR-2023a
Lineage: Eukaryota; Metazoa; Arthropoda; Malacostraca; Isopoda; Haploniscidae
Description: partial 16S ribosomal RNA
Source: RNAcentral
ACUAGGCCUUUGAUAGGGGUCUUGAAUGAAUGAGUUGACGAUUUUUAAGCUAUCCUAGCUUUGGUUUGGAAAUUUAUCUUUAAGUUAGAAAGCUUAACUCUCUAGAAAGACGAUAAGACCCUAUAAAGCUUUACUAAUAUAGUUAAUAAAGGAAGAAAGAUUUUGUAAAAUUAGUUUAGCUGGGGCGGCAAUAAAAAUUCUUUUAUAGAUUUAACAGAAUUUUUGAGGYGGUAGAUCUAAAAAGAGAUAGAAUAAGCUACUUUAGGGAUAACAGCGCAAUAUUUUUAAAGAGAUCUUAUCGAUAAAAAGGACUUGCGACCUCGAUGUUGAAUUGAGGGGCCUAAAUUAAGCAAAAAUAAUUUAAGGGAGUCUGUUCGACUUUUAAUUCCUCA